Non-coding RNA from Saimiri boliviensis boliviensis (Bolivian squirrel monkey), 1542 nucleotides. The record is from RefSeq and is a predicted model, not a curated record. Lineage: Eukaryota; Metazoa; Chordata; Mammalia; Primates; Cebidae.
ACAAAGCGGGGAAUCUGACGAGCUUUUCUCUACUUGUGUCACCAACAGACUGUUUAUCAUGAGCAGCAAAUCAGCGUCUGCAGCAAAUGGAAAUGACAGCGAGAAGUUCAAAGGCGAUAGCAAAAGUGCCGGUGUCCCCUCCAGAGUGAUCCACAUUCAGAAGCUCCCCAUCGACGUCACAGAAGGGGAGGUCAUCUCCCUGGGGCUGCCCUUUGGGAAGGUCACCAAUCUCCUGAUGUUGAAGGGGAAAAACCAGGCUUUCAUCGAGAUGAACACGGAGGAGGUUGCCAACACCAUGGUGAACUACUACACCUCCGUGACACCCGUGCUGUGCGGCCAGCCCAUCUACAUCCAGUUCUCCAACCACAAGGAGCUGAAGACGGACAGCUCUCCCAACCAGGCACGCGCCCAGGCGGCCCUGCAGGCCGUGAACUCGGUCCAGUCGGGGAACCUGACUUUGGCUGCCUCGGCGGCGGCUGUGAACACAAGGCUGGUGAUGGCCGGGCAGAGCCCCGUGCUGAGGAUCAUCAUGGAGAACCUCUUCUACCCGGUGACACUGGACGUGCUGCACCAGAUUUUCUCCAAGUUCGGCAUGGUGUUGAAGAUCAUCACCUUCGCCAAGAACAACCAGUUCCAGGCCCUGCAGCAGUACGCGGACCCCGUGAGCGCCCAGCACGCCAAGCUGUCUCUGGACGGGCAGAACAUCUACAACGCCUGCUGCACGCUGCACAUUGACUUCUCCAAGCUCACCAGCCUCAACGUCAAGUACAACAAUGACAAGAGCCGUGACUACACCCGCCCAGACCUGCCCUCUGGGGACAGCCAGCCCUCACUGGACCACACCAUGGCCACGGCCUUUGGCCUCUCUGUUCCCAACGUCCACGGAGCCCUGGCGCCCCUGGCCAUCCACUCGGCAGCGGCGGCAGGCCGGAUAGCCAUUCCAGGCCUGGUUGAGGCAGGAAAUUCUGUGUUGCUAGUCAGCAACCUCAACCCAGAGAAAGUCACACUCCAAAGCCUCUUUAUUCUUUUUGGCAUCUACGGCGAUGUGCAGCGCGUAAAGAUCCUGUUCAAUAAGGAGAAUGCCCUGGUGCAGAUGGCGGACGACAACCAGGCCCAGCUUGCCAUGAGCCAACCAGCACAAGCUGCACGGGAAGCCCAUCUGCAUCACACUCUCGAAGCACCAGAACGUGCAGCUUCCUGGAGAGGGCCAGGAGGACCAGGGCCUGACCAAGGACUAUGGCAACUCGCCCCUGCACCGCUUGAAGAAACCAGGCUCCAAGAACCCUUAACAUAUUCCCACCCUCGGCCACCCUGCACCUCUCAAACAUCCCACCCUCAGUGUCCGAGGAAGAUCUCAAGGUCCUCUUCUCCAGCAAUGAGGGCAUCGUCAAAGGAUUCAAGUUCUUCCAAAAGGACCGCAAGAUGGAGCUGAUCCAGAUGGGCUCCAUGGAGUAGGCGGUCCAGGCCCUCAUUGAUCUGCACAACCACGACCUCGGGGAGAGCCACCGCCUGCAGGUCUCCUUCUCCAAGUCCACCAUCUAG